ACCUCCAUUUGUUGGUAACAGGGAUAUUGAAUGUCCCAAUAUCCCACUUCCCUCUCCUUCUAGUCAGACUGAUUUUCACUGACUUUAAAAACCCCAUGACAGGAAUAUAAUAUUAUUCUAAUCCAAGCCCAACAUCUACAUUAAAAUGAAAAAAGAUCAGAGAUUAAAGCAAACACAUCAUGUCAAAACCCACAGAGAAAAAUUUAAAGACCCAACUUUUAUGGGUUGUUUUUUGUUAGCUCUAUGAUACCUUAACUUCGUCGAGCAACUGAUUGGCUGCCUUCUGCCAAACUGUCAAUAUGAUUGGUUGGACUCAAUCAACGGUAGAAACCACUGCCACGUGUCUAAACCCAUUACUCGAUGGAUAAUC
Molecule: long non-coding RNA, 370 nt
Filed under: Linum usitatissimum (flax)
Lineage: Eukaryota; Viridiplantae; Streptophyta; Magnoliopsida; Malpighiales; Linaceae
Description: long non-coding RNA (LUSI_LNC001312)
Source: RNAcentral